CCUGCAUAAUUGAGUUUGCUCAUCAGCAAAUGAGUCGACCUACCAAGGUCAUGAGUCGACUCCAACAAAAAUGAGUCAACUCACCAAGUACUCGAGUCAACCCAAUUGAGAAUCAAGUCGACUUCACAGGCAUGCCAGUCAUAGUUUCAUGUUUUCAUGCAACCAAAACUUAGGAUUUUGGAUCUAAGAUUUUGUAAAAAUUAAAUUUUAGAUCGUGUGACAAAAUAAUAUAUCAAAUAU
Molecule: long non-coding RNA, 240 nt
Filed under: Elaeis guineensis (African oil palm)
Lineage: Eukaryota; Viridiplantae; Streptophyta; Magnoliopsida; Arecales; Arecaceae
Description: long non-coding RNA (EGUI_LNC077160)
Source: RNAcentral